This 74-nucleotide transfer RNA is filed under the name Rattus norvegicus (Norway rat). It matches the Rfam family "tRNA". From Rfam's summary of the family: Transfer RNA (tRNA) molecules are approximately 80 nucleotides in length. The record is from Rfam by way of RNAcentral. Lineage: Eukaryota; Metazoa; Chordata; Mammalia; Rodentia; Muridae.
UGGAAGAUGACUCAGUGGGUAAGAGUGCAUGCUCUGCAAGCACGAGAAUCUGAGUUCAAAUCCCUGGCAUCCAC